UGGGGAAUAUUGCACAAUGGACGGAAGUCUGAUGCAGCAACGCCGCGUGCGGGAUGACGGCCUUCGGGUUGUAAACCGCUUUUUCUCAUGACGAAGUUUUUUGACGGUAGUGGGGGAAGAAGCACCGGCUAACUACGUGCCAGCAGCCGCGGUGAUACGUAGGGUGCGAGCGUUGUCCGGAAUUAUUGGGCGUAAAGAGCUUGUAGGCGGUUUGUCGCGUCGAUAGUGCAAACUCAGUGCUUAACGCUGAGCCUGCUGUUGAUACGGGCAGACUAGACGAAGGUAGGGGGGGAUGGAAUUCCCGGUGGAGCGGUGGAAUGCGCAGAUAUCGGGAGGAACACCGGUGGCGAAGGCGGUUCUCUGGGCCUUUCCUGACGCUGAGAAGCGAAAGCGUGGGGAGCGAACAGG
This 408-nucleotide ribosomal RNA is filed under the name Fusobacteriota bacterium. Its description in RNAcentral is "Fusobacteria bacterium partial 16S ribosomal RNA". It matches the Rfam family "Bacterial small subunit ribosomal RNA", at positions 355 to 776 of the family's 1533-position model. The record is from RNAcentral. Lineage: Bacteria; Fusobacteriati; Fusobacteriota.